GACGAACGCUGGCGGCGUGCUUAACACAUGCAAGUCGAACGGUGAAGGGAUCAGCUUGCUGGUUCUGGAUGAGUGGCGAACGGGUGAGUAACACGUGAGUAACCUGCCCCCUUCUUCUGGAUAACCGCAUGAAAGUGUGGCUAAUACGGGAUAUUCUGGGUCUGUCGCAUGAUGGGUCUGGGAAAGAUAUUGUUUCGGUGGGGGAUGGGCUCGCGGCCUAUCAGCUUGUUGGUGGGGUGAUGGCCUACCAAGGCGGUGACGGGUAGCCGGCCUGAGAGGGUGGACGGUCACACCGGGACUGAGACACGGCCCAGACUCCUACGGAGGCAGCAGUGGGGAAUAUUGCACAAUGGGCGCAAGCCUGAUGCAGCGACGCCGCGUGAGGGAUGGAGGCCUUCGGGUUGUAAACCUCUUUCGCCAGUGAAGCAGGCCUGCUCCUUGUGGGUGGGUUGACGGUAGCUGGAUAAGAAGCGCCGGCUAACUACGUG
RNAcentral lists this ribosomal RNA (488 nucleotides) under uncultured bacterium. RNAcentral describes it as "partial 16S ribosomal RNA". It matches the Rfam family "Bacterial small subunit ribosomal RNA", at positions 28 to 507 of the family's 1533-position model. The record is from RNAcentral.